GUGGGGAAUAUUGGACAAUGGGGGGAACCCUGAUCCAGCCAUGCCGCGUGUGUGAAGAAGGCCUUUUGGUUGUAAAGCACUUUAAGCGAGGAGGAGGCUACCGAGAUUAAUACUCUUGGAUAGUGGACGUUACUCGCAGAAUAAGCACCGGCUAACUCUGUGCCAGCAGCCGCGGUAAUACAGAGGGUGCAAGCGUUAAUCGGAUUUACUGGGCGUAAAGCGCGCGUAGGUGGCCAAUUAAGUCAAAUGUGAAAUCCCCGAGCUUAACUUGGGAAUGGCAUUCGAGACUGGUUGGCUAGAGUAUGGGAGAGGAUGGUAGAAUUCCAGGUGUAGCGGUGAAAUGCGUAGAGAUCUGGAGGAAUACCGAUGGCGAAGGCAGCCAUCUGGCCUAAUACUGACACUGAGGUGCGAAAGCAUGGGGAGCAAACAGGAUUAGAAACCCGAGUAGUCC
RNAcentral lists this ribosomal RNA (451 nucleotides) under uncultured bacterium. Its description in RNAcentral is "bacterial SSU rRNA". It matches the Rfam family "Bacterial small subunit ribosomal RNA", at positions 354 to 796 of the family's 1533-position model. The record is from RNAcentral.